GAAACAAUAACAAUAUCACAACAAAAGCAAGAGACUAAAAUCACCAUAGCAAGGAAAUUCUACUAGGAGCACAUCAAAAGCAAGAGAAGAAACAAUGGGCAGCUCAUGCGAGAUUCAUAACAUAUACAUGUUUUGGUCUCUAGGGGAUCCACACUCUGAACUGAUAAUAUUAUAUUGGGAUUAAAUCUGUAUCCUGGUUCUGAUGCAAUUUCAAAAGUCCUGAGCAUCCUAUGCAGCAGGCCAAUGAUGAAUUGAACCACAUCAAAAGUGAAAGAUCGGGAAACUUU
Molecule: long non-coding RNA, 287 nt
Organism: Hibiscus syriacus
Lineage: Eukaryota; Viridiplantae; Streptophyta; Magnoliopsida; Malvales; Malvaceae
Exons: 3
Source: RefSeq, a predicted model, not a curated record